RNAcentral lists this ribosomal RNA (859 nucleotides) under uncultured cyanobacterium. Its description in RNAcentral is "bacterial SSU rRNA". It matches the Rfam family "Bacterial small subunit ribosomal RNA", at positions 1 to 904 of the family's 1533-position model. Lineage: Bacteria; Bacillati; Cyanobacteriota. The record is from RNAcentral.
GCCCUUAGAGUUUGAUCAUGGCUCAGGAUGAACGCUGGCGGCGUGCCUAACACAUGCAAGUCGAACGAAGCCCUCGGGCUUAGUGGCGGACGGGUGAGUAACGCGUGAGAAUCUCCCUUCAGGAUGGGGACAACCGUUGGAAACGACGGCUAAUCCCCAAUGUGCCGAAAGGUGAAAAGGGUUUCCGCCUGAAGAAGAGCUCGCGUCCGAUUAGUUAGUUGGUGAGGUAAGAGCUUACCAAGGCAGCGAUCGGUAGCUGGUCUGAGAGGAUGAGCAGCCACACUGGGACUGAGACACGGCCCAGACUCCUACGGGAGGCAGCAGUGGGGAAUUUUCCGCAAUGGGCGAAAGCCUGACGGAGCAACGCCGCGUGCGGGAAGAAGGCUCUUGGGCUGUCAACCACUUUUCUCAGGGAAGAAGACCUGACGGUACCUGAGGAAUCAGCCUCGGCUAACUCCGUGCCGGCAGCCGCGGUAAUACGGAGGAGGCAAGCGUUAUCCGGAAUUAUUGGGCGUAAAGCGUCCGCAGGGGGCGCAUCAAGUCUGCUGUUAAAGGUCGGAGCUUAACUCCGGUAGAGCAGUGGAAACUGGUGCGCUAGAGGGCGACAGGGGUAGAGGGAAUUCCCAGUGUAGCGGUGAAAUGCGUAGAGAUUGGGAAGAACACCGGUGGCGAAAGCGCUCUACUGGGUCGCACCUGACCCUCAGGGACGAAAGCUAAGGUAGCGAAAGGGAUUAGAUACCCCUGUAGUCUUAGCCGUAAACGAUGGAUACUAGGCGUGGCUUGUAUCGACCCAAGCCGUGCCGAAGCUAACGCGUUAAGUAUCCCGCCUGGGGAGUACGCACGCAAGUGUGAAACUCAA